This 253-nucleotide ribosomal RNA is filed under the name uncultured bacterium. Its description in RNAcentral is "partial 16S ribosomal RNA". It matches the Rfam family "Bacterial small subunit ribosomal RNA", at positions 524 to 776 of the family's 1533-position model. The record is from RNAcentral.
UACAGAGGGGGCUAGCGUUGUUCGGAAUUACUGGGCGUAAAGGGCGCGUAGGCGGCCCUCUAAGUCGAACGUGAAAUCCCCGGGCUCAACCCGGGAACUGCGUCCGAUACUGGCAGGCUUGAAUCCGGGAGAGGGAUGUGGAAUUCCAGGUGUAGCGGUGAAAUGCGUAGAUAUCUGGAGGAACACCGGUGGCGAAGGCGGCAUCCUGGACCGGUAUUGACGCUGAGGCGCGAAAGCCAGGGGAGCAAACGGG